Long non-coding RNA from Arabidopsis lyrata subsp. lyrata, 1900 nucleotides. RefSeq lists it as uncharacterized. The transcript has 6 exons. The record is from RefSeq and is a predicted model, not a curated record. Lineage: Eukaryota; Viridiplantae; Streptophyta; Magnoliopsida; Brassicales; Brassicaceae.
GGGUGAUUGAUAAAUAAUUUGGAUAGUUGCAGAAUAUUGGUGUAUAAUAGUAUAAUAGUAUUUAUGAUUGUUUAUAGAAUAUGUAAUAUGUAAUUUUAAAUAAAUGGCAAACAAUUGUUUUGCUCCUACGAAAAUAAUGGAUAUCAUUUGUCAUUAAAAGGCUAUAACCCAACGAAAAUUUAGGAGCCCAUUAAUAAAUCAGAUAGCAAUUUUCUUUUGGGCCGUAACAAACAAAAUUGUCUUCAGAUCGUUUCACAUAAACGAUUGAUUUUUUUUAUUGCAUAAAUGAUUUUUUUUUCUAGAACAGAUAACUCUAGAACAUUGUCUUAUCGUUUUCACUAAAACACACCGAAAAAAAAUCAGACGGUUGUUCGUAAUAAAAAUCAUUCGCAAAAUUAUCUUAUAAUCAAGAUACUAUGUCUUCGUUUAUCAUAUGUUAAUCGUAACACCGGAAUUCUACAAAGAGAGCUCAUGGGCGUUGAUUAUCAAGAACCUGAUAAUAUAUGGGUGAUUGUUCGAUCUAAGAAUCAAUUCCAAAAUUUUAUGAUAAUCAAGCUAUUACGUCUCCGUUCAUCCUUUUUUCAUGUCAAAUUCAUAAAGAGAUAAUGGUUUGCCCAACGAUGUUGCCAAAAGAAGAUGAUUCUGAAUAAAAUUAAAUGGCAAAUUUGAUGUCAUUUAGAAGCCAUACCAGAAUCUGGAAGCAAUGUUAAAGUUCAAAGUUAAAUUAUCAUGGAUGAGGCAGAUUUGAUGUUGCUUUUGUAGCAAUUCAGAAAUAUAGAAGCUUUGGUAAAGGUUAGUGAGUUGAUAAGUUUAAGAUCUCUCUUUAGUCCAUAGAAAUUUUAGAGUAUGUUAUCUGUCAAUAGUUACAGCCGUUAUCAAUUUUUAUGAGUAACUAUGUAAUUGUCAAUUAUUUGUUUUGAUAGUGACUAUUGUUAAUUAAACCGAGUAAGUUUCAAUAUACAACGGCAGACCGCUCAAGACAGGAAAUGUUGAGUGUCAUGAGCCCAAUGCCAAUAAAUCGUUGGCCAUUCCAUAGGUACAUGUUUUACUUCAAUUUUUACCCUUCGAAAAGAGCAUCAAACAACUUGUUUGGUUGGCUCUUAAAAAAACCUUCAUUGAUCUAAAUCAGCAGAAGACAGGGAAACCCAACAAUGGUGUCAAGCCCACAUACCCAUAAAGCACCAAAACAUGCACCUCGUCCACCCUUUCGAACCAAACUCGCAGAGAUGAAGCAAAUCACUGCUGUUCUUUUCCAAGACCAGACACCGUUUCCUUCAUGAUGCAUCGUUCCUUCUGUUCUCUAAAGGCCGACUUUGUUCAAACUAAUGGCUCCAAAGCACCCUCGAGUGCUCUUCUAUGAGCAUGAAUUAUGUCAAGCUGUUGCUUAAAACAACCUUACCUGAUUACACUUGCUGCAGUCGGACUCUUCAUAUUGGUUUCCUCACUUUAUGUUGAUAUUAGGUUUUGUCUUCAUUACAUUAUUGAUCAUUUCUAUUGAUGAUCAUCAUUACCUAUAGUAAGAAGCAUGCAAGAACGGUGCAUGCUAGUGGUGCUGCCAUGCCAUUUUCUUAGAAGAAUCGUGAAGAGAACAGAUGAAAGCUUUUAAAAGAUCUCGUCCAUAAAUAUUAGGCUAAAUAUUGGGCUAAUUUACUCAAAAGUCCAAUACGAUUAUUCUGCAGGAUCCGCGUAUUUUACCAUUUAUGUACCCGGGAUCCGCGCAUUUUACCGAAUUGGGAUCCGAAUAAUGAUCCAAGAUCCGCGUCCUUCAGAGUGCAAAAAUGUCCAUUUUACCCCUCAAAGAUUUCUUUUAUUUAGUCAUAGAAAUAAAAAUUUGUAAUGGCAUCCUUUGUAAUUCUUUACCUUUUAUAAGGUUAAUUAUUAUCCAAUGCUUCCCGAUUAA